This is a non-coding RNA of Pelobates cultripes (western spadefoot toad), 221 nucleotides long. Lineage: Eukaryota; Metazoa; Chordata; Amphibia; Anura; Pelobatidae. The record is from the annotation of a GenBank genome assembly.
CAGGAAAAGGCUGAUUAUCCCGAAAUAAAUCUAACUGCAUUUAAAUUCUGUCUAUGCUACAGCAAAUGUCUCCAUUCACAUAAAAGUCAGUUAAAAGAAUGCAUUUAAGAAAAUGAAGGUGUAAGUGUAAAAAUCGAAAAUGAAUUACGUAAUCUACAAAAUGUGGAUCUUGAUAUUUAAUCGGCUUUUCUCUCAGGCUAUAAAUAAACAUUAAAAAUUAU